AAAUUGAAGAGUUUGAUCAUGGCUCAGAUUGAACGCUGGCGGCAGGCCUAACACAUGCAAGUCGAACGGUAACAGGAAGAAGCUUGCUUCUUUGCUGACGAGUGGCGGACGGGUGAGUAAUGUCUGGGAAACUGCCUGAUGGAGGGGGAUAACUACUGGAAACGGUAGCUAAUACCGCAUAACGUCGCAAGACCAAAGAGGGGGACCUUCGGGCCUCUUGCCAUCGGAUGUGCCCAGAUGGGAUUAGCUAGUAGGUGGGGUAAAGGCUCACCUAGGCGACGAUCCCUAG
Molecule: ribosomal RNA, 289 nt
Filed under: Escherichia coli
Lineage: Bacteria; Pseudomonadati; Pseudomonadota; Gammaproteobacteria; Enterobacterales; Enterobacteriaceae
Description: partial 16S ribosomal RNA
Rfam family: Bacterial small subunit ribosomal RNA
Source: RNAcentral